AACGAACGCUGGCGGCAUGCCUAACACAUGCAAGUCGAACGAGACCUUCGGGUCUAGGGGCGCACGGGUGCGUAACGCGUGGGAACCUGCACUUAGGUUCGGAAUAACUACCCGAAAGGGGUGCUAAUACCGGAUCAUGUCUUCGGACCAAAGAUUUAUCGCCUUUGGAUGGGCCCGCGUUGGAUUAGCUAGUUGGUAGGGUAAAAGCCUACCAAGGCGACGAUCCAUAGCUGGUCUGAGAGGAUGAUCAGCCACACUGGGACUGAGACACGGCCCAGACUCCUACGGGAGGCAGCAGUGGGGAAUAUUGGACAAUGGGCGAAAGCCUGAUCCAGCAAUGCCGCGUGAGUGAUGAAGGCCUUAGGGUUGUAAAGCUCUUUUACCCGGGAUGAUAAUGACAGUACCGGGAGAAUAAGCUCCGGCUAACUCCGUG
This 433-nucleotide ribosomal RNA is filed under the name uncultured bacterium. RNAcentral describes it as "partial 16S ribosomal RNA". It matches the Rfam family "Bacterial small subunit ribosomal RNA", at positions 29 to 507 of the family's 1533-position model. The record is from RNAcentral.